GGCAUCGUAGUGUAGUGGUUAAGCACUUGGGAUUUUGAUUCCCACAACCCAGGUUCGAACCCUGGCGACGCCU
This 73-nucleotide transfer RNA is filed under the name Fibroporia radiculosa. RNAcentral describes it as "tRNA-Gln (TTG) (tRNA-Gln-TTG-2-1)". It matches the Rfam family "tRNA". Rfam says of the family: Transfer RNA (tRNA) molecules are approximately 80 nucleotides in length. Their secondary structure includes four short double-helical elements and three loops (D, anti-codon, and T loops). The record is from RNAcentral. Lineage: Eukaryota; Fungi; Basidiomycota; Agaricomycetes; Polyporales; Fibroporiaceae.